RNAcentral lists this ribosomal RNA (446 nucleotides) under uncultured Selenomonas sp. RNAcentral's name for it is "bacterial SSU rRNA". It matches the Rfam family "Bacterial small subunit ribosomal RNA", at positions 355 to 794 of the family's 1533-position model. The record is from RNAcentral. Lineage: Bacteria; Bacillati; Bacillota; Negativicutes; Selenomonadales; Selenomonadaceae.
UAGGGAAUCUUCCACAAUGGACGAAAGUCUGAUGGAGCAACGCCGCGUGAGUGAAGAAGGGUUUCGGCUCGUAAAGCUCUGUUGGUAGUGAAGAAAGAUAGAGGUAGUAACUGGCCUUUAUUUGACGGUAAUUACUUAGAAAGUCACGGCUAACUACGUGCCAGCAGCCGCGGUAAUACGUAGGUGGCAAGCGUUGUCCGGAAUUAUUGGGCGUAAAGGGAGCGCAGGUGGGAAAGUAAGUCAGUCUUAAAAGUUCGGGGCUCAACCCCGUGAUGGGAUUGAAACUACUUUUCUUGAGUGCAGGAGAGGAAAGCGGAAUUCCUAGUGUAGCGGUGAAAUGCGUAGAUAUUAGGAGGAACACCAGUGGCGAAGGCGGCUUUCUGGACUGUAACUGACACUGAGGCUCGAAAGCGUGGGGAGCGAACAGGAUUAGAUACCCUGGUAGU